Drosophila sulfurigaster albostrigata is the source of this 1070-nucleotide long non-coding RNA. RefSeq lists it as uncharacterized. The record is from RefSeq and is a predicted model, not a curated record. The transcript has 2 exons. NCBI's taxonomy places the organism in Eukaryota, Metazoa, Arthropoda, Insecta, Diptera, Drosophilidae.
AAAUUCCUUUUUAUAGGAAAUAUGUUCAGUGGCAGAAGAACCUCGAUAGGAAAGCAAAUUACGGUUUAAAAAAUGUUUAAAUUUAUUGAAAGAAUACGAGAUGUUUAAAACAACGCGCCAUUUUCAACGCAUCUUGAAAAUAUACCAAUUACCUAAGUUUCUGAAACUAUACAAAUUCAUUGCAUUUUGCAAAUAAUACCCACGGACAAAAGCCUCAUAUUGUCAAGCUAGACAACUUAUCGGUGUUGCCACCUCGUGCCAAGUUUACCGCAUUAUUUCAAAACCAAAAUUAAACAAACGUUCGCUUUAUGUUCAAGAAAAUAUCUUUAUUUUACGACCGUGUUGAACGAUUAUAUAAAGACAUAUAUAAAUACAUAUAUUUCUUAUAUUGAAUACAAAAUAUGCUUUUGCUAUUUGACCUUUUUUUGUGCUAAAUACACCGUUACAUACAAAAAUUUGUUGAACCAAAACAACGAGUAAAUGCGGUUUAGUAUUCAAUUAUGAACAUUUUGUUUCGUAUUUGUUAAAUAUAUAUUCUUUUCAUUGUUGUUUGUAUUUUUUGGAGUAAUUUGGAUUCGAACUUUUAGCCGGCAUGCACAGACUGAAACGAAGAAUAAAGAGAUAAAUCAAAUUAAAGCAAAAUCAUAUACCACAUAUAGAAUACAGAAAACGCAAAAAUUAGAAAGCUUAAAAUUAUAGAAAUAUGUACAUAUACAGUAAUUGUCACAUUUGAGUAGAUGAAACAUUCGAACUAUAGUAGAACUUCACUGUUACUGUUUGCUACAUUUCUUUCUCUACCAAGUCUUUUGAUUGCCAUUUGUUAUGCUUUGCUUUGUAGUAUUGUUUCUUACAGUAGUUUUUCACGAAGUUAUUUGCUUAUAUAAACUCUGAAUUGGAACGUACCCUGGCAAUGUCCACGCCAGUAAUGUUCUUGACCAGCUCCGGCACUUUGUUGACAAUCGACAGCACUUCGCCGGUCAACUUGGCAGCACCAAUAUCGCCUUGGCCGCUGGACACCAUCGUGAUCUUUCUAGCCUGAGAAAGAGGAGCAGCCACUUCGGCGGCAACCU